RNAcentral lists this ribosomal RNA (1854 nucleotides) under Triticum aestivum (bread wheat). Its description in RNAcentral is "partial small subunit ribosomal RNA". The record is from RNAcentral. Lineage: Eukaryota; Viridiplantae; Streptophyta; Magnoliopsida; Poales; Poaceae.
AUGAGCGCGCGGCCGCCGCCGGCCGGAUCUCCUUGCUCCGGCCACUCCCACGACUGCCGCUCCGGGAUCCAGCCACCUCGCCGCCUGCUCCCUCCUUCCCUCCCACAAUCAGGUGUGGGAGCUGCGCCCUGGCGACCUCGCGCCGUCCCUCCCGUCUUCAGCGGCGGCGGUCCGUCGGCCACCACUUCGCCGGUCCGAGCUCCGGCCAGCAUGCUGCGGUGGCUUCCUGCUGAGAUGCCUUCUGGCUGCACUCCGUGCGUCGUCCUGCAGCCGCCCUCGUCCGCUGCUCGAUCCAAUCUGGAUCGGGAGUUCUCGUCCCCGCCGCCGCAAUCCGCGAUGGGCCACUCCGUCCAGAUCGGUGGCGAGUCCGAGAAGGUGCCAGAGCUGUCCCAAGGCAUGCUGGCUGCGCCCCUGCCGGCGUCCGCACGGCUCCCCUUGGAGGACCUUGCUGCCGCGAUCCGCGUCGCCGAAGACCUGAAGGGGAUGAGUUCUCCCAUCACCAGCCACGACGCGCCGGACCCCGUUCCUGGCUUGAGGCCGCCGUCUCAAGCUUCUAGGACGCUCGGUGCUUCUUCGGCCUCUGACCAACCCCGGUUGCUCCUUCCCGUGGGCAUGGGCAACGGCUUGGAGCUUCCAGCGCCUCCUUCGGUUCUUGGCUCGGGGCGGCCACAGCCUGAGUCAUGGUCCCCGCUGGACGCCGACGGCGACGAUGACACCAAUGAAGAGGAGUUGGCCCCUAUGACACCGCUUGCUACCAAGGCAUCGGCCCCGGUCGCUGCCCAGCCGAGUGUGGGAUGUGUAACAGAGGCGUGCGGGGGAUGGAAAGAGGUGUUGCCCCGGCAUGGUCCGCGUAGCCCAAUGUUGCCAGCCCCGACAAUGGCUCCUCGUCCCAUCCCUGCCUGGAUGCAUGGCCGGUGCUGCAGAUGCCUCGUUCGUGGGCACCGUGCGGCUGAGUGUAGAGACCCGUUUCGGUGCUCCCGUUGCUUGGAGAACGGUCACCGUGCACGUGGAUGUCGUAAUCCAUGGCGUCCUCUAAGCUCGCUGUCAUGCCUUGCCGUGCAACCAAUUCUGGGUAUCGUGCAUCGUCAUGCUACAGCUUCAUGUGAGAGUUCAAUGAAAUCCGCACUACCAUCCAAGGCGUUUCGUCAUGGGUCUUGGGCGUCUGUCGUCUCUGCUACCGGUGGCUCGGCCACCCAGCCUGAUGUGCAGUCUGUUCUGGCUGAUCAAAUCGCGCAGCUGCAAGGUUGGAUGACGUGGGUUGGGAGCUUUCCAGAGAGGGCGGAGGCUGCUCUAGACAAGCUCUCCUUAGGGCCGGCUAUGUUGUCAACCAGUCUGAUGUCAUGCCCUCUGAUGUCAUGCCCUCCUGGUGUGGCCGGUGCUGCCACCAUGGAGGAAGGAAGCCAAGAGCUAUAUGGAUGUUUCUCUCCUCGUGUUGGGGACAAUGCAUCGUCACUAUCGACCUUGUCUCCUGUGCUGCCUACCAUUGAGGGCGAGCCCAGCGCCAUGCUCGAGUCUCCGGUUCUACAGAUCAUGCCCGACCUACAGGAGCUAUGUCUGAGCCCUGUUUUGCCUUUGUCUGUGGAGCGCUUGGAGGCGGACUCAUUAGUGAUCUUGUGUGAGGGGCAUGUUUCGCCUCUGUCACGUGAGCAAGUGGAGGUGCCUGAGGCAAUUGUGUCAGUGGUUCCUGUGGGCGAUGUUGUCGUCUCAGUGGUUUCUGUGACUGAUGAUGUUGAGGCGGUCGGUAUGUUAGCGUCUGACCCUUUGGAGCCCAGCCAGUCGCUCGCCUUUGUGGACGGCGGAUGUUCCGGUCACCAACUCACACGUGACCGUUGGGCACGUGAUGUCUGUGCGUGA